AGAGCGCGGCGCGCUGAGGGGUGGUGUGGUGGCCGCGCUCGGGCCGUCAGUGCUGGGCGAGCUGCGGCCCGGCCUGGGGCUGCCCCGUCAGGGGCACCAUCCGCCCCCACCGCCCUUCUCGCACUGUGUGUACCCCUCUACCUCUCCCCAGCCUCUAGUGCUCGAGUUCCCGGGGCUGAGGAUGGCCAGGGAAAAUGCGGCUUAUGAGGGUGUUGGAAGGAGUAGGAGUGGGAAUACACCCCGAGCAGGAGCCGCCGGCAUCAGGAGCAUGUGCAGGGUGCCUGUGUGGGCCGAGCACGGGAGCCUGGUUUCUCAGUACUAAUCCGGCCAGGCUGUCCCCUGAAAUGCACGUGCGCUGACUAAGGCGUCUAUGAUGGCGUUUAAUCAGGCUGAGAUGUGCACUGAGCUACUCUGGGUUGGCUAAUGAGUGUUUGACCUUAAAUGGCUAGUGUGGUGCAGAGCUUCCCCAAAAUUGCUCUGGCACUGGGCACAGUUGCAUUUCUGCUUGUGGAAGGAUUGAAGAACUGAAUGUGCUCAUUUGAAGAUGAUGGGGAUGGGGAGGGGCUUCCAGUAAUAGAAGAAAUAGGUUGUCUUUGUUGCUUUCAAAUUCAGAGGGCUCUAUGGUCCCAUCAGUUGCAUUGCCAGGGUUGUAUCUGGCCACCAGGCUGCAGGAUGAAGGUCCCUCUGGUGCCCUUUGAUGGUGGGUUGUCAGCACUGUAAGUUGGAUUGGAUACCAGGGCAAGCAGAUGCUGCCAGGGUUUGCUAAACUAUCUCCUUGUAGAGCAGUUGCAUCACAUUUCCCUUGCCAUGACUAAAUAUCUCCUCGCUUUUCCCUUUGCACCUGGAUGAGCAUGCCAGGGCUAGGCCUCAGGUGGUAUCAAUUGGUGCAAUGCCACUAGCACAGACACAUCUCUUCCCAGGUGUCCCAGUCAGACUGAUGUGAAAGUAUGAGACCGCAGGAUUAGUUCAUGGUAUGUUUUGGUUCUUGGCAAUGAAGACAAAUUGCCUUUUCCAAAACUGGGUCCAUAUUAACAAUUUUGAAAACUGUAUUUGAAGAAGGGUUGUCAGAAUAAACCUCUCCAGAAAGCCCAGAUAAUGGCUGCACCAGUCCCAGGUUCUUGUAGGUGCUGUGAAAAAGAAUGAGGCAGAGUAAGCACCUCUCUAGUCUGAGGAGUCAAAAUGUAGAGGGAAAAGGGGAAAUGAAGCUGUUGGUGAAGAACUGCAGUAAUCAGGGAAGAAUUUGACAUAGGCAAUUUUCUCAAAUAAAUGGUCUCACCACUACAAAAACACUCUGUGGUUGCAUUGAAGAAACAGUAGGAUGACUUGCAGAGGGUCUUGCUCAGGCGCUGACCUGAGGCUGCGGGUCUGGAUGGUCCAGGGGCAGCUCCCUUGAAGUUGAACGUCUCCUGUGAGCUGCUUGUGAAAACGAUGCCAUCCCCAGCCUUUGCCCGGGGAGCCAUAGGUUGUCUCAAACGGGACCAUUCCUGGCAUCUUUAGCUUAGCAGAGAAUCUGGAUAUGAAUAAUAAACUACUCUUUCUCAUAAAUAUACCCAUAAAUGUGUAAAUGUAUGUGUUAGAAGGGAAGAUGAGAGGGAAGGUUAGCGCAGCAAGCACUGCUGGAGAGGUCUUGCAGACCAUCGUUACCCAUUCCAAGCAUGCCUCAGUCUGUCAAAGCAGCACCUUCCCUGGGCACCUUGGGAAGGGAAAACUUUUAAAGACUAGAGGAGAGAACUUGACAAAGGUGGUCAGCUGUGAAAAAGAAGCAGCACUUCAGUAUCGUAACACACUCCUGUACUGAGAGGGUUACACAAGAAAUACCUGUUUCAGAAAAAGCUGUCUGUAAGCAUUUAUCCUUAACAGCUUGUCAGAACAAGGCUGAAUGCAUAUGCAGAGGCUUUUCUGACCUAGGCAGAGAAAUAAAGGACACAAGCAGUGAAGGUUUAUUCUCUCAGCUACCUAAAAUAUCUAAAUGUGUUAAGCUUUUUGUCUUUGAAUUCAGUAAUUCCCGUAGCUGAAAAACAUUUUGGUGCUGUAUUUCUGACCUUGUUUAGCAUAACUACAAUUUUAAUAUGUAGAAAUGUUAGUGGUCUGAUGUCCAAGCUCCCCUCUAGCUUGGCCUGUGCAAGCUGUGGGUUGCUCAUGCUUUGAUUUAAUGCAAAGCUUGAUGUACAGGCAGCCCAGGAGUCCUCUCUGCUUGAUAGUCACCUCUGCUUGCCACUGAGAAGCUCUCAUUGGAAUAAAUUAAAAUCUUUCUAGUUGUCUGUUUUAUCAUGAACUUUCUGCUGAAAGCAUGCUCUGUACAAACUGCCAGCUUUCCACCCUCAUGGAGGAGGUUGUUCUCAGUUAACGGAGCUCAGCUGCUCUACACCAGCAAAGAGCCCAGGCUGUGCCCAGGCUGCACUGUAGCUGGUGGCCAGAUCUGAUGAGCAGAUGCUGCUCUGCUUCUCUGGCUGGCUUCAGGAGGAAUUGUGUCUGAGGGCAGGAUUUUGGCUGUGAGCCUUGAGGUGAAGAGCUGGGCUACAGAUCUGGCUGCUUGCCUGGGUGGUUUCCAGGCAGACAUUGCAUUUUUAUUGUCUCAGAUACUCUGCUUUGGAGGUCAGUCGAGAAAACAGGAUGGGGUUGUCAUUUGGCAGAAGCAGAAAAGCCAAGACAAAAAAAAGAAUGUGGUGGUACACUGGGCAUAAAACUGUUAGUCCAGCACUGGAGGUGGCAUCUACCUGUGCUAACCCAGAGGUAACAGAGGGCGAUUUCUGCCAAGCUCUUGUUUCCCAGGCUAUACUGACCUUUCUCCUGGCACAUUGCCGCUUUCCCUGCUCUGGCCCACCACGCCACCCAUCACAGAGAGCAACGCAAUCAGAUGUGGAGGAGGAGCUGUAUCUCCCCACUGCUACACAGCUGGGCUCAAGGGCAUAGAGGACUACACAAAAAUUCAGGCAAAGGGAGCAGGCUGGACCUGCAGGGAGUAAGGAUAGGCAUUUUAACCAGAGCACAGAUUUGUCCCAUAACAGGUAAAGAAAAUAACUUGCAUGACGAGAAGACUUCAUUGCUGUGACUUGCUGAAAUGUCAGGAAGAUGCAGGGAAAUGGUAUGGCUGUUUGUGCUAUAGCACCAGUGCUCUUUGACACCUGGAAAGGGGAAGUAGUUAUAUUUUUUACAUUAAGGGGCAAUGAGAGCAGUUAGUCCUAGUGAAAAGAAAGAAAAUAUUUCCCUGUUUCUACUGCUUUUCAAGAGAAAGAGGAACGGUAUCUUCACUGUUUUCUCUGAGAAGCUUGAAUUUAUCACAAUCUGCCAUAGGUCCUCUGGCAACAAUGUUUUCUAUCCUCUCCAAGUAAGGAGUGCAAAAUUACUCCCAGCACUUUGCCGGGUCCCUGCAAGGCACUGGUGUGCACAGAAGCACAAUUUUGGUUGCUCUGAUUGCUUUCCCUUGUGAUAAAUUUGUCCCCACUGCCCCAGAAGCAAUGACAAGGAAUGCUUAGUGGGGACCCACCAGAAAAGGCUGAUUUGCAGGUGACUUUCAGAUGCUGGUUUUGUGUUUGCUUUGGUUUGGGCAGACACAAGAUGUCAUAAAGCAAUCAGGGAGUAUAUCAAUUCAUAAUGUAAACAUUUCACUGAAUACACCUCCUUUGGUACCAGUGAUGUUUCAACAGCUACACUGAAUAACUCUGUACACAGCUCAUGAUGCAAUUGUAAACCCUGUGGCCUUCUGCAUAGUCAACAGAAGUGGUAAAGCACUUUCUCCUGCAGGAACAGAUUGGUCCAGGUGUCCAGGCUACCAGUUUCUUCUACCAUGAUAUUUGCAUUUAGACCGCCAACUGUAUCUCUUCCUCUCUUCCAUCUCAGACUGAGCUAAUACAGCUUUGCUGUGCUGAGAGCCUGUGACAGCGUAGUUCAGAGGUGUUGAUUCUUCAGGCUGUGUCCCUCCUGGAGAGGAAGAGGUUGUGCCUGCAGGUUGGUAGGGUUGAGGUUGCCAUUGGUUGUAAAGCCUUGAAAAGAUCAGAGAGGGGGAAAAGUACUGGUAAAUGCACCAGAGCAUGCAUGGAUUUGCAGUUCAGCCUCUGCAGUAAUGGAUGUAGAAAGCUGCUUCCGGGGAAGCAGAGGGUUUGUGGUGGUGGUUUAUGGCCAGGUGGCUGUCAGAGGCACAGCAGAAGAGCUCAAAGGUGACCCUGCUGUUCAGCGUUGCCACUUCCCAAUACUCCAAUGUGUCUGUGCAUCUUUAUCCGUGUCCAUAUCUGAUGAGAAACAAAAUCCAAACAAGCACAAAGCGGCAAACAGGGAGAGAACUUCCUUUCCUACACUGAAGCACUUCUCUGUAGGCCCCAGAAAUUCCCAGUUCCUCCUCCAGCUGGAUACCUCACUCCUUCCAAACCUCUCAUCUCCUUCAGACCUCGUGUUCCUGGAGAAAGGUCAAUGCUGUUGGCCCAAUGCCUGCACAGCAACAUUUCAGUGAUGUGGAGGGCUGUUCCGUAUUUCAUUGUUCCUUCUGGCAGAUGCAGCCCGAGACACAGGGAACAGAGGUUGUUUCCCUUCCUGUCUCCAUGCUGGGGAGCAGCAUGGCUGUAGCUUGCAGCCAUCAGUGGCACUUGACUCUGCCUGGACGGGGCACACUGAAGCAGGGUGGUGGCAGCUCUGUGCUGGGCAUGAGUGGGUGGAGGUGCCUCCUGGUCUUCAGUGAGUCACAAGCUGUUCCCCAGAUCUUCAGCAACAAAAGGGGACACAAGAGUACGACACAGCAGGUUCCUGUGCCUCCCCUCCUUCUGGAAAACAUGCACCUUCUCUUUCAAAUCAGUGCCCUGUGGACAUUGCAAUGGGCUUAAUUGCAGGGUGGCUAAUGAGCACUCUCCAGGAUUAGAGAUGGGAUGGGUCUAACCCAAAAUCAUAGCUUAGGGCACCCAAAUGUCUCAGUGGACUUUACAAGCUGAUCACUUGCCAGACACAGAAGAUGCUUGAUGGCAAAACACGACAUGCCAUCCUGAAGCAGAAAAGUUAUCCAGCUGAGUUCUCUGGGCUGAGGAAAAAAAAAAAAAAAACAAAAC
Long non-coding RNA from Taeniopygia guttata (zebra finch), 5033 nucleotides. The record is from Ensembl. Lineage: Eukaryota; Metazoa; Chordata; Aves; Passeriformes; Estrildidae.